RNAcentral lists this transfer RNA (72 nucleotides) under Camelus bactrianus (Bactrian camel). It matches the Rfam family "tRNA". From Rfam's summary of the family: Transfer RNA (tRNA) molecules are approximately 80 nucleotides in length. Their secondary structure includes four short double-helical elements and three loops (D, anti-codon, and T loops). Further hydrogen bonds mediate the characteristic L-shaped molecular structure. tRNAs have two regions of fundamental functional importance: the anti-codon, which is responsible for specific mRNA codon recognition, and the 3' end, to which the tRNAs corresponding amino acid is attached (by aminoacyl-tRNA synthetases). tRNAs cope with the degeneracy of the genetic code in two manners: having more than one tRNA (with a specific anti-codon) for a particular amino acid; and 'wobble' base-pairing, i.e. permitting non-standard base-pairing at the 3rd anti-codon position. RNAcentral also lists the same sequence under 2 other names. The record is from Rfam by way of RNAcentral. Lineage: Eukaryota; Metazoa; Chordata; Mammalia; Artiodactyla; Camelidae.
GAGGGUGUAGCUGAGUGGUAGAGCGCGUGCUUAGCAGGCACAAGGCCCCGGGUUCCAGCCCCAGUGCCUCCA